Molecule: ribosomal RNA, 464 nt
Filed under: uncultured bacterium
Lineage: Bacteria
Description: partial 16S ribosomal RNA
Rfam family: Bacterial small subunit ribosomal RNA
Source: RNAcentral
CUACGGGAGGCAGCAGUCGAGAAUCAUUCGCAAUGGGCGAAAGCCUGACGAUGCGACGCCGUGUGAACGAAGAAGGCCUUCGGGUUGUAAAGUUCUUUCGCCUGGGAACAAGAGAUUAAGUGAAAUACACUUAAGAUUUGAGGGUACUAGGUAAAGAAGCACCGGCUAACUCCGUGCCAGCAGCUGCGGUAAUACGGAGGGUGCAAGCAUUAAUCGGAUUUAUUGGGCGUAAAGGGCGUCUAGGCGGCUAACUAAGUCAUAUGUGAAAUUUCGAGGCUCAACCUCGAAGCUGCAUGUGAAACUGGAUAGCUAGAGGGUAGGCGGAGAAAAUAGAAUUCCACGUGUAGCGGUGAAAUGCGUAGAUAUGUGGAGGAAUACCGGUGGCGAAGGCGGUUUUCUAGCUUAUACCUGACGCUGAAGCGCGAGAGCAAGGGGAGCAAACAGGAUUAGAUACCCCCGUAGUC